Molecule: long non-coding RNA, 3917 nt
Organism: Gallus gallus (chicken)
Lineage: Eukaryota; Metazoa; Chordata; Aves; Galliformes; Phasianidae
Source: Ensembl
CCUCUUACUGCUACUACUUUAUGCUGUAUUUGUGUGCACUGCAGGGGUGCUCAGGUGCCAGACUGCUGCUGGUAUUCGUGCUGUUUUGUCCGCAGUGGAGCACCUCAACCUCCACUACAUUUUUAAGGAUCAGAGUCUCUUGGUUUCUCCAUUUUCCUCCUCAUUUCAGCUUGAUACUUCUCACUAGGAACCACUUUCUGUACCAGAACAGUGCACCAGUCAUUAAAAGAACGGGGAAAAACACAACAGAAGGUGUAAGGCUGUGUCUUACUCUUCCCCUACCCCAUUUCUUUUUGUAGAAACAGAGACAUUGCUACCCUGUCUCACAGUAAGCGAGACAUUGGUCUAAUUGCUUUUAAUGACAGAGGGCAAGCAUCCCCCUAGUCAGUCACUGCCUUGAUGGAGAGAGGCCCUCGGUUUUCACAACUGGCAGUUGCCUCUCUCACGCACUAAAUUCACGUGUACGUGUGUGUACGCAUUCAUCAGCAUUUACUCCUUUGCAGUGUCUCAUGAGAAUUAAUAUUAUUCCUCUACACCAACAAAACUUCCAUCGUGCCAUCCACACCACUGCAUACGUACGGCAACCCCGUCUAGAGGAAUGCCUCAUUCCAGGUGUCAGCUGGAAGCUGUUCCACAGAAGAGCUGAGGAGCACUUCAGUAAUUCCUGCUCCAGCUCUGCCAUUUCCAACUACCAGCAGAAGGCACGAAGCCGAUGGCAGCAACAGGUUCCAGGGAGAAUUACAAAACUCUCCCUACACGUGUGAGUACCGAUUGAGUAAUCUAUGCUUGGCUUGCAAACCUGAACUAAUUCAUUGUCCCAAAUCUGUUAAUCUCAACCACGACGCACUUAACGCGCCAUGGUGCCGCAAUGCAAACGCUCGGUCGCAGGAAUCAGAGCAAGUAAGUCAUUUGUUUUGCUCAGAAUCAGACUGCCCUGCUUCUGGUGGCCAGCUGCAUAUAAUGGCAAACAUAAAAUCAAUCAGAAGCACAGAAAAGAGCUCUCUCUCAUAUAAAACACAAACUUCUCCCACACUUGAAUCGUGGAACAGAACACUGCAUUAACACACCCACUUUCCUGUGGCUCCACAAACUUAGAUACCUAUUUUGCAUAUCCUUCAGAGCAGAUGCGUCCACUUUAUUAUUACAUGGAAGUGUAAUUGACGCAUGUAUUUCAUUUUUUCUUAUCAUUUAUUCAUUUGCCUAUAUUUUGGCAUGCAAAGCCUCAUCUUUAAAACCGUGGCAUAAGGAAAGAUCCUAUUUCAGGGAAAACACACUUGUAUUGUACCGGCCGUACGUGCACAGAAGGCACGCGGAAUGGCCACAACAGUCGUCCUUGCCUGGAACCUUCCUGUCCCCGAGCUCCCUACAGAGCAGGUGCAGGAGAGACUCCACCAGUGUGAGCUGCUGGAUGAAUGGCUGCUACAGAACAGCUCAAAGAGAAAGGAAAAGGCUGAAGUGGACGGAAAAUAAAGCUGUCAGAAAUAUUAGAGACCCUCCUCAAGCUGUCACGAAGCUUACAGUCUCCUCAUCUGGAAACGUGUGCAACUACAAAGGAUGUGCACUCUACAAGCAAUAAAAACUUGUUUGGACAACGCACUUUCCAUUUACAGAAUGUACUGCGUGCGUGCCUUGUGUCCGCUAUGUUCCUGAAGAGGCCAGAAACACACGCAAAGGGUCUGCAAGAAUGACAGCCUUACACUUCUCCGAGAUGCCCAUCACCAGAGCAAGCGUCACGCAAAGUCGAGCUGCUUUAACAGCCUGCACACAUGCACUCUGAAAUCCACUCUAUCUGCAGCCGCCACUCUCCACAAAACGCCAAUGAAGGAGUAAUUGCAUCAUAACGACAAGUAGGAGGUGGCUGCAGUGCUUUGGGCUUGACCUGAAUAUUCUUAUCUGCUGUUAAAUUUCACAAACGGAAACGGCUCUUGCUUUAAAUUCCCACAGUUCGGUCACGGAUCUGAAAGGAAGUUUUCCUAAUCUGGACUAAACACGCCAUGAAAAAUGCUCCCAGAAGCUCACAGCGCUUCAGCGCAACCAGACAGGAUUGUCUUCUCGUUUCAGGCUUACGUCAGUGCACUGCCUAAACCAGACCUGGAUCUGGAUAACGGAUCCUGCUCGAUUAAUUAGCCCAUCCCUAAUGUCUUGAAUAAACGUGAGCAUCGGCGAAACUGAAAUUACAAAAGAAAAAGAGUUUACAGGACAGGAGACUUUACAGACUCCACAAGGCCACACAAGGGCCUAAGGCCCCGCAGCCUAAGGCCCCGCAGCCUAAGGCCCCGCUGCCCGCCUCCUUCACAGGCGGCGCUUCCACUGCCUUCAGCGCAGCAGGGCUGUGCCCCUUCAAAGAACAGGAGAGGAUUCUUACGUAGAAAACAGCGAAAAAUCUUCUUUGCUAACGGGAAAAACUCCUUGCAGUAAUCAUAUUUAAAGCAUGGUCAACAAAUAUGACAAGCCUACAACGGCAUCGCGGCAGUGCUUCGGCAAUACCACAGCAGGCUGCUGUAUCUGCAGGACUGUUCAUUUACUUUCCCCUAAAUCUGGAAUUGUUGCUUUUCACCAAACGCCCUGUUUGUCGGCACAUCCGUAUGCCAACAUCGCAGCGCGCGCCCCAGGGUAAGGACGAGCAGCAGGCAGAGACGGGGCUCCUGCACACGCGUUGCACACAGCAGCGCCAUCAGAGAUGCCAAGUCUCCAUCUCCUCCUGUGCUUCGUGUGGUGACAGCUAGCUGCGCCGCUCACAGACCUUCCCACAGCGUAGCAGCGUAUCUUCACCAAGAGUAACACAACGCCGCUGCUCCUGAGCACCAAGGAACUGCCCCACUGCGCGCACUGCAGCGCUGAGCGGUACUGCCGCACCUAAGUGGUUUUGGCAGGCAGCACGCAGGGCAGAGGCGCACAGCGAGAUGCACGUUUAAGCCCUCCUGUGUUUUCUCAUCAUACCGCCACCCGAAAUGGAUCUCACCAUUUCUGAACCCACGACCAAAGUACCUGCCCACCUAGCAGGGCAGCAGCGAGCUGCUACCACGGGAUCACAGCAGCACAGCUGCAGUCUUUAAGAGCCCCUACAGCUGGAGCUCAAGCAGAUGCUGACAGAACUCGCCUGCUUUUCUUUCUCAAGAGCACACGUAGCUUCCACCCCUUACAAAAACACAGAGCAGGCAAAAUGAGAUACAUGUGCACACACAUGUUAACUGAAUUAACUGGAGGCGGCCGAUAGAUGCAUCCCGAACGUCCAUCUGUUUACAAAAGACACUUGUGGCUUUCAAGUCUUGUGCUCCUUCUAGUGUAAUUCUCAACCAAAACAGUUUACGUUCAACCGGAAGGCUCUGCUGCAGGGUUUCCACACAUAAUGGCCACGUGUUUAUCGGGCUCUCCAGUUUGAACUAUGUCAAAAUAGCCACGCUACCCAUUCACGGAACGCACCGAAUCCACGCCAGCCUUUCCCAUCUCGGCUGGGAAGCCUCAUGAGGCAAAGCCGGGAACGGCCUUGUCAAAUGGGAUAGCUAACAGUAACAGAAAGCUCCCGGUUCCGCAGCUGUGAACUGUAUUUUCAGGCCGAAGAGUCCACUUCCGCAGCAGUGCCACACUUCUCAGCACCGGCUGGGACCGAGGGGAUACAGAGCAGCAGUGGGCGCAAGCAGCUGCUCUCAAACGCGCUCCAGGGCUGUGGGCUGCCAGCUUUCUUUGCACGGGGAUGAGGGAAGCCGGGACGCGUCGCCUUACUUUAUUCCAGCAGCACAACCGGAAUAAAACUUCACGUUUUCCCGGCUGACUUCAGCUCGGUGCUCCAUUCUUUGACGGAGACGCAGCGCAACGCGUCUCUGCAGCGCGAUCCCUCUUCCCCUCUCACCGCGACCGCGGGGUAUUCCUGGCGCUGCGCGGGGGUCGCCCGCGGCGGCGCUCCCCGGAGCGGCGCU